GCAAGUCGAACGGUAACAGGCCGCAAGGUGCUGACGAGUGGCGAACGGGUGAGUAAUGCAUCGGAACGUGCCCAGUCGUGGGGGAUAACGCAGCGAAAGCUGCGCUAAUACCGCAUACGAUCUAUGGAUGAAGGCGGGGGACCGUAAGGCCUCGCGCGAUUGGAGCGGCCGAUGUCAGAUUAGGUAGUUGGUGGGGUAAAGGCUCACCAAGCCAACGAUCUGUAGCUGGUCUGAGAGGACGACCAGCCACACUGGAACUGAGACACGGUCCAGACUCCUACGGGAGGCAGCAGUGGGGAAUUUUGGACAAUGGGCGCAAGCCUGAUCCAGCAAUGCCGCGUGCAGGAAGAAGGCCUUCGGGUUGUAAACUGCUUUUGUACGGAACGAAACGGUCUGAGUUAAUACCUCGGGCUAAUGACGGUACCGUAAGAAUAAGCACCGGCUAACUACGUGCCAGCAGCCGCGGUAAUACGUAGGGUGCAAGCGUUAAUCGGAAUUACUGGGCGUAAAGCGUGCGCAGGCGGUGAUGUAAGACAGUCGUGAAAUCCCCGGGCUCAACCUGGGAAUUGCGAUUGUGACUGCAUCGCUGGAGUGCGGCAGAGGGGGAUGGAAUUCCGCGUGUAGCAGUGAAAUGCGUAGAUAUGCGGAGGAACACCGAUGGCGAAGGCAAUCCCCUGGGCCUGCACUGACGCUCAUGCACGAAAGCGUGGGGAGCAAACAGGAUUAGAUACCCUGGUAGUCCACGCCCUAAACGAUGUCAACUGGUUGUUGGGUCUCUUCUGACUCAGUAACGAAGCUAACGCGUGAAGUUGACCGCCUGGGGAGUACGGCCGCAAGGU
This 839-nucleotide ribosomal RNA is filed under the name uncultured Comamonadaceae bacterium. Its description in RNAcentral is "bacterial SSU rRNA". It matches the Rfam family "Bacterial small subunit ribosomal RNA", at positions 57 to 894 of the family's 1533-position model. The record is from RNAcentral. Lineage: Bacteria; Pseudomonadati; Pseudomonadota; Betaproteobacteria; Burkholderiales; Comamonadaceae.